GCUCAGAUUGAACGCUGGCGGCAGGCCUAACACAUGCAAGUCGGACGGUAGCACAGAGGAGCUUGCUCCUCGGGUGACGAGUGGCGGACGGGUGAGUAAUGUCUGGGGAUCUGCCCGAUAGAGGGGGAUAACCACUGGAAACGGUGGCUAAUACCGCAUAACGUCGCAAGACCAAAGAGGGGGACCUUCGGGCCUCUCACUAUCGGAUGAACCCAGAUGGGAUUAGCUAGUAGGCGGGGUAACGGCCCACCUAGGCGACGAUCCCUAGCUGGUCUGAGAGGAUGACCAGCCACACUGGAACUGAGACACGGUCCAGACUCCUACGGGAGGCAGCAGUGGGGAAUAUUGCACAAUGGGCGCAAGCCUGAUGCAGCCAUGCCGCGUGUAUGAAGAAGGCCUUCGGGUUGUAAAGUACUUUCAGCGGGGAGGAAGGCGAUGUGGUUAAUAACCGCAUUGAUUGACGUACC
RNAcentral lists this ribosomal RNA (467 nucleotides) under Pantoea ananatis. Its description in RNAcentral is "bacterial SSU rRNA". It matches the Rfam family "Bacterial small subunit ribosomal RNA", at positions 22 to 479 of the family's 1533-position model. The record is from RNAcentral. Lineage: Bacteria; Pseudomonadati; Pseudomonadota; Gammaproteobacteria; Enterobacterales; Erwiniaceae.